UGGGGAAUAUUGGACACUGGGCGAAAGCCUGAUCCAGCCAUGCCGCGUGUGUGAAGAAGGUCUUCGGAUUGUAAAGCACUUUAAGUUGGGAGGAAGGGCAGUAAGCGAAUACCUUGCUGUUUUGACGUUACCGACAGAAUAAGCACCGGCUAACUCUGUGCCAGCAGCCGCGGUAAUACAGAGGGUGCAAGCGUUAAUCGGAAUUACUGGGCGUAAAGCGCGCGUAGGUGGUUCGUUAAGUUGAAUGUGAAAGCCCCGGGCUCAACCUGAGAACUGCAUCCAAAACUGGCGAGCUAGAGUAGGGCAGAGGGUGGUGGAAUUUCCUGUGUAGCGGUGAAAUGCGUAGAUAUAGGAAGGAACACCAGUGGCGAAGGCGACCACCUGGGCUCAUACUGACACUGAGGUGCGAAAGCGUGGGGAGCAAACAGG
RNAcentral lists this ribosomal RNA (429 nucleotides) under Pseudomonadota bacterium. RNAcentral describes it as "Proteobacteria bacterium partial 16S ribosomal RNA". It matches the Rfam family "Bacterial small subunit ribosomal RNA", at positions 355 to 776 of the family's 1533-position model. The record is from RNAcentral. Lineage: Bacteria; Pseudomonadati; Pseudomonadota.